UACAGAGGUCCCAAGCGUUGUUCGGAUUCACUGGGCGUAAAGGGUGCGUAGGUGGCGAGGUAAGUUUGAUGUGAAAUCUCCGGGCUUAACCCGGAAAUGGCAUUGAAUACUAUCUGGCUCGAGGGUUGGAGGGGGGACUGGAAUUCUCGGUGUAGCAGUGAAGUGCGUAGAUAUCGAGAGGAACACCGGUGGCGAAGGCGAGUCCCUGGACAACACCUGACACUGAGGCACGAAAGCUAGGGGAGCAAACAGG
Molecule: ribosomal RNA, 253 nt
Filed under: uncultured bacterium
Lineage: Bacteria
Description: partial 16S ribosomal RNA
Rfam family: Bacterial small subunit ribosomal RNA
Source: RNAcentral